AGAGUUUGAUCCUGGCUCAGAUUGAACGCUGGCGGCAGGCCUAACACAUGCAAGUCGAGCGCGAAAACACUUCGGUGUGAGUAGAGCGGCGGACGGGUGAGUAAUGCUUGGGAAUCUGCCCAAUAGUGGGGGAUAACGUGUGGAAACGCACGCUAAUACCGCAUACGUCCUACGGGAGAAAGCAGGGGAUCUUCGGACCUUGCGCUAUUGGAUGAGCCCAAGUCAGAUUAGCUAGUUGGUGGGGUAAUGGCUCACCAAGGCGACGAUCUGUAGCUGGUCUGAGAGGAUGAUCAGCAACACUGGGACUGAGACACGGCCCAGACUCCUACGGGAGGCAGCAGUGGGGAAUCUUAGACAAUGGGCGCAAGCCUGAUCUAGCCAUGCCGCGUGAGUGAAGAAGGCCUUAGGGUCGUAAAGCUCUUUCGCCAGGGAUGAUAAUGACAGUACCUGGUAAAGAAACCCCGGCUAACUCCGUGCCAGCAGCCGCGGUAAUACGGAGGGGGUUAGCGUUGUUCGGAAUUACUGGGCGUAAAGCGCACGUAGGCGGAUUAGAAAGUUAGAGGUGAAAUCCCAGGGCUCAACCCUGGAACUGCCUUUAAAACUCCUAGUCUUGAGUUCGAGAGAGGUGAGUGGAAUUCCAAGUGUAGAGGUGAAAUUCGUAGAUAUUUGGAGGAACACCAGUGGCGAAGGCGGCUCACUGGCUCGAUACUGACGCUGAGGUGCGAAAGUGUGGGGAGCAAACAGGAUUAGAUACCCUGGUAGUCCACACCGUAAACGAUGAAG
This 783-nucleotide ribosomal RNA is filed under the name uncultured bacterium. Its description in RNAcentral is "bacterial SSU rRNA". It matches the Rfam family "Bacterial small subunit ribosomal RNA", at positions 8 to 814 of the family's 1533-position model. The record is from RNAcentral.